Nicotiana attenuata is the source of this 1395-nucleotide RNA transcript. It is a transcript of the gene named autophagy-related protein 3-like, with no coding region annotated. NCBI's taxonomy places the organism in Eukaryota, Viridiplantae, Streptophyta, Magnoliopsida, Solanales, Solanaceae. The transcript is spliced from 10 exons. The record is from RefSeq and is a predicted model, not a curated record.
GAAACCACGUCACAAAUAAAUCAUCAAAUUAGUCUCCAAAAAGAACAUCGAGAAGGCGAAACACCCUGUCUUCAACUCCCGAAAGAGUACCAUAGACGAAAGCCUUCAACUUCGAUUCUCACAAUUUUGGACUCUCAGUCAAUUGCUCAUACAAUCCAAAACGGUAUAAUGGUGCUAUCGCAGCUGCACGGAGCGUUCAAAGGGACGGUAGAGAGAAUCACAAGUCCUCGUACCGUCUCUGCUUUCAAAGAGAAAGGCGUUCUCAGCGUUAACGAGUUCGUUAUUGCUGGCGAUAAUCUUGUCUCCAAAUGCCCUACCUGGUCUUGGGAAUCAGGUGACCCUAGUAAGAGGAAGUCAUAUUUACCAGCUGACAAGCAAUUCCUGAUCACUAGAAAUGUUCCUUGUCUGAGAAGAGCUGCAUCAGUAGAGGAAGAAUAUGAGGCUGCAGGAGGUGAAGUUCUGCUUGAUAACGAGGACAAUGAUGGUUGGCUGGCAACUCAUGGGAAACCAAAAGAAAACAAAGGUGCUGAGGAUGAUAACUUGCCAUCUAUAGAAGCAUUAGAGAUCAGCAAAAAGAACUCUAUCCAGUCAAACCCGUCGUACGUUGGAGGCGAGGAAGAGGAAGACAUACCUGACAUGGGAGAGUACGAGGAAGCUGACAAUCUUAUAGAAACAGAUCCUGCUACCCUUCAGACUACAUAUCUUGUGGCUCAUGAGCCUGAUGAUGACAACAUUCUAAGAACACGAACAUAUGAUAUCAGCAUCACGUAUGACAAGUACUAUCAAACGCCUCGUGUAUGGCUCACUGGAUAUGAUGAGUCAAGGAUGCUUUUGCAACCAGAGCUCGUACUUUGAGGAUGUCAGUCAAACCAUGCACGCAAAACGGUGACCAUUGAAGAUCAUCCACAUCUUCCAGGGAAACAUGCUUCAGUACAUCCUUGUCGGCACGGGGCUGUGAUGAAGAAAAUUAUUGAUGUUCUCAUGUCGCGAGGAGUUGAGCCUGAAGUUGACAAGUACCUCUUCCUAUUCUUGAAGUUUAUGGCUUCCGUUAUUCCAACAAUUGAAUACGAUUACACCAUGGACUUUGAUCUUGGUAGCAGUAGCACCUGAUUUGCAGGCAACUUCCUUCGAUAGAUGCUGCACGUAACAUGUCAAGCACCAAUUACUCUGAUGACGAUGCAUCUGUUCGUGUCAUGAUCAGUGAUAAUUGUACAUACUGUUUAUAGACUUCCUUCUAGAUAGGUGGUGCAUGCAUGAUGAAUUGUCAGCAAUCCUUGUUAUUGUAUAUUGACAAGAAGAUUUAAAGGUUAUUUUGAGAUGUGAAUUUGCCCGAUGAAAUUGUUUAUUAAUGCCGUCUUCAAAAGUUAACUGAGUGAAAGCAACGAAAAGAAUCGA